CCUACGGGUGUCAGCAGUGGGGAAUAUUGCGCAAUGGGCGAAAGCCUGACGCAGCGACGCCGCGUGAGGGAUGAAGGUCUUCGGAUCGUAAACCUCUGUUAGCAGGGAAGAACGGUCACUGUGCUAAUCAGCAGUGAAUUGACGGUACCUGCAAGCGAAGCACCGGCUAACUCCGUGCCAGCAGCGGCGGUAAUACGGAGGGUGCGAGCGCUAAUCGGAAUUACUGGGCGUAAAGCGCUCGUAGGCGGGAUGUCAAGGCAAGGGUGAAAUCCCCGGGCUCAACGUGGGAACUGCCUUUGAAACUGGCAGUCUGGAGUGUGUGAGAGGAUAGUGGAAUUCCCGGUGUAGGGGUGAAAGGCGUAGAUAUCUGGAGGAACACCAGUGGCGAAGGCGACUAUCUGGCACCUAACUGACGCUGAGGAGCGAAAGCGUGGGUAGCAAACAGGAUUAGAUACCCUUGUAGUC
Molecule: ribosomal RNA, 465 nt
Filed under: uncultured bacterium
Lineage: Bacteria
Description: partial 16S ribosomal RNA
Rfam family: Bacterial small subunit ribosomal RNA
Source: RNAcentral